AUUUCCUUGGUCGAAAAGUUUCCUUGAUUUGGUCUUAAAUGACGUGCGAAGACGCCCCUUUAGAAAUAAAAAAUAAUACUUAAUUAGACUUAAGAAGCCAAAUAAACUUAAUGUGAAUGCAUCCUUAGUGCAUGAUCAUUUUAUUCUUUUUCUUAUUUUCCUAGAAAAAGUUCUAGGAUCCUUAAAUAUUAAUUCAAUCGAGAGAUUUAAUUUACUGUGGAGGUUUAUGGAAUAAUCCGUUAAACUUUGACGAGCACAUCGUUUAAAAGCAACUAGUCCAUUUAUUUAUUAUUCUAGUCCAAAGACUUGAGAUUUAUCCAUUUAUUUGAGCAGCCCAACUAAAAACUAUUUCCACUAGCCCUAAACCAUUUAAUUAAGGUGGUCCGCAAUUUAAUUUAGGCAGCCCAAAACACAUGACCCAAACUUCUCAAAAUGUGGAGGUGGCCAAAAAGUCCAAAUAUACUCCCCUCCUCCAUCGGCUAUACUCCUAAAACUCUCUCUUCUUCCCCAAAUUAAAAACCCUAAAUUAAUAAUCUCCAAAUCGAAAAUUUGUCACUCCUCUUCUCCCCUGCGUCAGCGCAUCACUCCGGUCAACGACAAAGCGCCACCGGCGUUUCUCCUCGGCAUCACGUUUUCGAGCUAUCUUUCUCUCCGUUGAAACCACUGAGGAGUUAUGUGUUUUCCGUCGCAUCGCCGUCCGUCUCUUCACAGCGAAUCAGCGCCGUUGGGAUGUCUCCGGCUGAGGCAGACUCAGCUCGUUCCGUUUCACAGACCAGGGCCGGUGUCGCCGCCACCAACGAUCAGCACCACCGCCGUGGCUCCUCGACUUGCCGCUGCUUCGCGGGCGGUCCGGCUGAGACGGUGUGGUCAGCUGCCGUCACUGGUCUUACUGAUACAGCCCCACUCCUCGAUCGGAUGAAGAUGAGUCCUUUACCCCGAUUUCCUAUUCUAAAAUUAAAUUGUUAUCGCAACUAUUUGGUGAUUUCUUAGUUCAUUAGAGAAGUUGGACAAAAGGCAGAUUUAGCAAAAAUUGAAAUCUUAGGCUUAAAGUUGUGAAUUUAUUUUGCUGGCUGUGAGGGUUUAACAAUACUUGAAGGAAGCUUGUGAUAACAUGAGGGUUUCUAUGUUGUGAGUACUACUUAAGUUACUGAUCUUGAUGUAAAUGCAGUAGCUUAUUGCUUCUAGUUCUAGUGCUUCUACAUGAUGAUAUUUUAAUUGGGAUGAGGAUGGAGGUGUAUUACCUCUUGAAGUAGCUACUGAUUCUUUUCCCCUGCCCCUAGAUUCACAGCUUGCCCACUUGUUCCUCUGAUUCCUUUUUGAUAUAUUAGGAAAAAGGUGAGUUUGGGUUUGAGCAUAAAGUACUUGUGAGAAAUGAGGAAUAGUGUUACCUAUGGAGAGUAGGGGCUGCCCUUGUUGUAAGAACUCUUUGCUGGGAAUUACUCACUCAACUCUCUACACCCCCAAAACUUGCAAUGUGGCUGGGAAAAUUAAAGUAUGUGGGAGGGGGAAAUUCCGAUGAGUAUGAAGGGUUUUUUUUAUAGGCAAGCCUUGGUGUACUUUGGGGAAAUUAAAUGGCUGUUGCUGCAGUUUUGUUUUCGUUCGUAGCAUAUCCUUCUGUUUGAUUCACUUUGCAACACUUUAACUUAAAUUACUUUGGUGUUAUUUGGUGGUGCUAGGUACUUGGUUGUUAGCUUCAUCUUGUCCUCAUAUGGCCAUUUGGUGGCUGGUACAAAGUAGGUUUAAGGUGCUGCCAUAAGGGUGGAGGAUUUGCAGGGUUUGACUUGCCCUUCUUGCUGAGUUUUUUGGGUCCUCCAUAGCUAAAGAGGGGUGGAAUAAUAAUUGGCUGUCAUACUACUAUCCACGACAUGGGCUCACUGCCCCGGGCCCGACGGGCUGAACGGGUAGGGCCGCGGUGAGGAACAUUUUAGUUCGGGGAGAAUGACUUCAUAUCCUUGUACAACGUUCAAAUAUUUCAUAACAUACAUUAGUUCGAUUAUCACUUUAA
Molecule: long non-coding RNA, 2005 nt
Organism: Salvia splendens (bonfire salvia)
Lineage: Eukaryota; Viridiplantae; Streptophyta; Magnoliopsida; Lamiales; Lamiaceae
Exons: 2
Source: RefSeq, a predicted model, not a curated record